This is a long non-coding RNA of Salarias fasciatus (jewelled blenny), 952 nucleotides long. RefSeq lists it as uncharacterized. Lineage: Eukaryota; Metazoa; Chordata; Actinopteri; Blenniiformes; Blenniidae. The transcript is spliced from 6 exons. The record is from RefSeq and is a predicted model, not a curated record.
AGCUCUCUGUGUCUCCAUCAUGGUUGAUUCCUGGAGCUUCAGUCACUCUGAUCUGUCACACUGAGCCUCCGUCAGCAGGGUGGAGCUUCUACUGGUUCAAAGCUGUUCCAAACUCUCAGGAUUCCUACACCUAUGAGCCUCUACCUGGUACCAGCAGUGGGACAGCAAACAAUUCCUUCACAGUUCAUGGACAGACACACACAGCAGGAUAUGCAUGUUCAGCUGGACGAGGGGAUCCGCUGAUUUACACACAAUACAGUCGUCCCACAUUUGUCUGGUCUUCAGGUGUUCAUCCAUCAGCGUCUCUCACAGUGAAUCCUGACAGAGUCCAACACUUCACCUCUGAAUCUCUCUCACUGACAUGUGAAGGAAGCUCUUCCCAGUGGAGGCUGAUCCAGUUUCUGACUGACGACUCGCUGUUGAGCUUUCUUCCUCCAGCGACAAUCAAUGGAUCAACAUAUAUUAAGAAUGAGGCUCCAAGAAAAGCUGUGUACUGGUGUGAGUCUGGAACAGAGUUCAGCAAUGCAGUCAAUAUCUCCACACACUCUGAUGGCGUUAUCCUGGUGAGCCCUGUGUAUCCUGUACCUGUGGGAGAGUCUGUAACUCUCCUCUGUGUCAUGAAGACUGGAAAUAUUUCCUCUGAUGUGUUUUUCUACAAAAACAACAAAUUCAUUGGAAAUGAGAGACGAGGAGAGAUGAAGAUCUCUGCAGUGUCAGAAUCAGAUGAAGGUUUCUACAAGUGUCAGUACAAUGGAAGAGAAUCAGCACAAAGCUGGAUGGCUGUGAAAGUGUCCAGAUCUGAGAGCUCUUCAUUCCAUGUCUGGUUGAUCUUUGGGCUGGUUUGUGGAGUUUUGCUUAUUUUCAUCCUCUGCCUGCUGUGGUGCUACAAAUGCAAAAAGAGGUCAUGCUGCAGCAGACGUAUUGAGUCUUUGUAUGUCAAUCAAAGCUCUGC